Molecule: ribosomal RNA, 406 nt
Filed under: uncultured bacterium
Lineage: Bacteria
Description: partial 16S ribosomal RNA
Rfam family: Bacterial small subunit ribosomal RNA
Source: RNAcentral
AUUGAACGCUGGCGGCAGGCCGAACACAUGCAAGUCGAGCGAGCGGCGGACGGGUGAGUAAUGUCUGGGAAACUGCCUGAUGGAGGGGGAUAACUACUGGAAACGGUAGCUAAUACCGCAUACCAUCAGAUGUGCCCAGAUGGGAUUGGCUAGUAGGUGGGGUAAUGGCUCACCUAGGCGACGAUCCCUAGCUGGUCUGAGAGGAUGACCAGCCACGCUGAACCUGAGACCCGGUCCAGACUCCUACGGGAGGCUGGGGUGGGGAAUAUUGCACAAUGGGCGCAAGCCUGGUGCAGCCAUGCCGGGUGUGUGACGAAGGCCUUCGGGUUGUAAAGCACUUUCAGCGGGGAGGCGUUACCCGCAGAAGAAGCACCGGCUAACUCCGUGCCAGCAGCCGCGGUAAUUC